AUUCCUACGGGAGGCAGCAGUGAGGAAUAUUGGUCAAUGGACGCAAGUCUGAACCAGCCAAAUCGCGCGAAGGAAGACUGCCUUAUGGGUUGUAAACUUCUUUUAUACAGGAAUAAAAAAAGUUACGUGUAACUUAUUGCAUGUACUGUAUGAAUAAGCAUCGGCUAACUCCGUGCCAGCAGCCGCGGUAAUACGGAGGAUGCGAGCGUUAUCCGGAUUUAUUGGGUUUAAAGGGUGCGCAGGCGGGCUUUUGAGUCAGCGGUGAAAUCCCGACGCUUAACGUCGGCACUGCCGUUGAAACUGGGAGCCUUGAGUAUAGAUGAAGUAGGCGGAAUUCGUUGUGUAGCGGUGACAUGCUUAGAUAUAACGAGGAACACCAAUUGCGUAGGCAGCUUACUAAACUAUAACUGACGCUCAAGCACGAAAGCGUGGGGAUCAAACAGGAUUAGAUACCCUGGUAGUCCACGCCGUAAACGAUGAUUACUAGCUGUUUGCGAUAUACAGUAAGUGGCUAAGCGAAAGCGAUAAGUAAUCCACCUGGGGAGUACGCCGGCAACGGUGAAACUCAAAUGAAUUGACGGAAU
RNAcentral lists this ribosomal RNA (584 nucleotides) under uncultured bacterium. RNAcentral describes it as "bacterial SSU rRNA". It matches the Rfam family "Bacterial small subunit ribosomal RNA", at positions 335 to 919 of the family's 1533-position model. The record is from RNAcentral.